UGUUUCCGUUUGCUGCAUCACCGGCCACCUCCCCACGUGAAGCAGUUGUGCAAGCAUCACCACGCUGGGCAGCUGUCUACCUGCGUACAAGCACUCCUGAAGUGGCAGGGAAGUGGAGGCUGCGGAGAUAGUCUAGUAAACCUCUGUGAGGCAACUGGCAGCAGCGCUACGACGGCACCAUGUCCGUGAUCUGCUCGAUCUCCAAUGAAGUGCCAGAGUACCCGUGCGUGUCCCCUGUCUCUAAUCAUGUGUAUGAGCAGCGACUCAUUGAGAAAGAAGUACAUUGCUGAGAAUGGCACAGAUCCUGUCAACAACCAGCCUCUCUCAGAGGAGCAGCCCAUCGACAUCAAAGUUGCUCACCCAAUCCGACCCAAGCCUCCCUCCGCCACCAGCAUCCCAGCCAUUCUGAAAGCCUUGCAGGAUAGUGGGAUGCAGUCAUGCUGCACAGCGUCACUCUUCGCCAGCAACUGCAGACAACCGGCCAGGAGCUGUCCCAUGCUCUGUACCAGCACGAUGCUGCCUGCCGCAUCAUUGCCUGGCUCACCAAGGAAGUCACUGCUGCUCGAGAACGGCUGGCUUCUCUGAAACCACAGGCUGGGCUUAUUGUACCUCAGGCUGUGUCGAGCUCACAGCCCAGUGUUGUGGGUGCAGGAGAGCCCGUGGAUUUGGGUGAACUGGUGGGAAUGACCCCUGAGAUUAUCUAGAAGCUUCAAGACAAGGCCACUGUGCUAACCAUGGAGCGUAAGAAGAGAAGAAAGACUGUCCCUGAGGAGCUGGUGAGACCUGAAGAGCUCAGCAAGUACCAACAGGUGGCACCCAUGGGGCUAGACAGUGCUAGCAUUCUUGGGAUUCUCGCUCUGGACCUGUGUCCCUCAGACACCAACAAGAUUCUCACUGGUGGGGCAGAUAAAAAUGUUGUUGUCUUUUGAUAAGAGUACUGAGCAAAUCCUGGCCACUCUCAAAGGCCAUACCAAGAAGGUCACCAGUGUGGCUUUUCAUCCUUCCCAGGAACUGUUUUCUGUAUCCCCUGAUGCUACUAUCAGGAUUGGUUGGUCCCGAACACGUCCUGUGUACAGGUUGUUCGGGCCCAUGAGAGUGAGGUGACAGGCCUCAGCCUCCACGCUACUGGAGACUAUCUCCUGAGCGCCUCUGAUGAUCAGUAUUGGGCCUUCUCUGACAUCCAGACAGGGCGUGUGCUCUCUAAGGUGACAGAUGAGCCCUUGGGCUGCUCUCUUACCUGUGCACAGUUCCACCCUGAUGGGCUUAUCUUUGGAACAGGAACCAUUGACUCCCAGAUCAAGAUCUGGGACUUGAAGAAGCAUACCAGUGUGGCCAACUUCCCUGGCCACUCUGGCCCCAUUACCAGCAUCGCCUUCUCUGAGAAUGGGUACUACCUGGCCAUGGCAGCUGGUGAUUCCUCAGUCAAGCUCUGGGACUUACGCAAGUUGAAGAACUUGAAGACAUUGCAGCUGGACAACAACUUUGAGGUGAAAUCACUAAUCUUUGACCAGAGCGGCACCUACCUGGCGCUUGGGGGUACAGAUGUCCAGAUCUGCAUCUGCAAACAGUGGACAGAGAUUCUUCACUUUACAGAGCACAGUGGCCUGACCACUGGAGUGGCCUGUGGACACCAUGCCAAGUUCAUCCCUUCAACCGGCAUGGACAGGAGCCUCAAAUUCUACAGUCUGUAG
This is a non-coding RNA of Mus caroli (Ryukyu mouse), 1691 nucleotides long. The record is from RefSeq and is a predicted model, not a curated record. NCBI's taxonomy places the organism in Eukaryota, Metazoa, Chordata, Mammalia, Rodentia, Muridae.